This is a long non-coding RNA of Tachysurus fulvidraco (yellow catfish), 973 nucleotides long. RefSeq lists it as uncharacterized. The transcript is spliced from 5 exons. The record is from RefSeq and is a predicted model, not a curated record. Lineage: Eukaryota; Metazoa; Chordata; Actinopteri; Siluriformes; Bagridae.
GGCGCGUGCGCAGAACAUGUAUGAGUUGCAGUUCACACUCCAAUCCAGUAGGGGGCGGGAAAGUACCAUCUAGGUUGGCUGCCAAUCGCCAAUAAACACCAAAGAAGAAAAAAAGCAAAGUCGUGGCCCGUGGAAAAAAGAUGUUUACUGAUCGGCGUAGAAUCAGACUGAAAUACUUCAGUGGAACACGUGGGUGGGGGUGAACAGAUGAAGAAGAGGAAUGAAGGUGGAUUCAUAGUUCAUCACGAUGACCAGAGACUUCCUCAUGUUUCAUAGGAAAUCUGAGAUUAAAGAUCUCUAAAGCCUGCAUUAAAUCAGAUAUAUAAUUUACGGAUAAUCUCAUGAUUUUGGAUCCUGGGGCCCUGAUGCCUUCAGAUUAUUGGAGAUCAAGAUCCAUUAAUGAGGUGCUGGAUUUGUGAGAAGACACAAGACUGAAGCUGUAAAUUCAUUUUGCCGUAUACUUUGCUGUAGGUAGAGUGUAGUCUACUGUGUGUAGUUUGAUGGACAUUUCUGGUCUAUAUAUAUUGUACUGCUCAUGUCAAUGUUUUAGAACACUACUCUGUAUUAAAGCUGCAGGAAAUAUUAAACCAUUGUUGAGAGUAAUGAUGACACUGGGAUGAUCCUCUUAAUGGGAAAACUGUCUUUUUAUGAUAGUUUUAAAAAGAAACACUGAUUAGAUAAAAACUUUUAUUCCAGAAUUAUGUAACAAAUCACUUGUUUUAAAUAUAUUAAUAAACAUUAACAUUAAGCAUGUUGGUGGCCAUGAGUUAGCAGAAGCUGUGGUGAUGCGUGCUGUGACAGAACCCUAGGCAAAGGUCAUUAAAAAUGUAGUAUAAAUGUUAUUGUACAUUUCUGUUUAAAUAUGCAGAGUAACAACAUUUAUAUUUAAAAUAUGACUAUACUGUUAAGCAUUAAAUUACAUCAAUGUACUGAAAAAUCAUUUGCUUUAGUAAUAAAUGCUAUAUUAAUUAUU